RNAcentral lists this ribosomal RNA (253 nucleotides) under uncultured bacterium. RNAcentral's name for it is "partial 16S ribosomal RNA". It matches the Rfam family "Bacterial small subunit ribosomal RNA", at positions 524 to 776 of the family's 1533-position model. The record is from RNAcentral.
UACGGAGGGUGCAAGCGUUGUCCGGAUUUAUUGGGUUUAAAGGGUGCGUAGGCGGUCCUAUAAGUCAGUGCUGAAAUAUCCCGGCUUAACCGGGAGGGUGGCAUUGAUACUGCAGGACUUGAGUAAAGUUGAGGUAGGCGGAAUUGACGGUGUAGCGGUGAAAUGCUUAGAUAUCGUCAAGAACACCGAUAGUGAAGACAGCUUACUAAACUUUAACUGACGCUGAGGCACGAAAGUGUGGGGAUCAAACAGG